RNAcentral lists this long non-coding RNA (3338 nucleotides) under Homo sapiens (human). RNAcentral's name for it is "HSALNT0199414". The record is from RNAcentral. Lineage: Eukaryota; Metazoa; Chordata; Mammalia; Primates; Hominidae.
CUCACUGCAACCUCCGCCCCACCAGUUCAAGUGAUUCUCCUGUCUCAGCCUCCCGAGUAACUGGGAUUACAGGUGUGCAUCACCACACCCAGCUAAUUUUUGUAUUUUUAGUAGAGACAGAGUUUCACCUUGUUGGCCAGGCUGGUCUCGAAUUCCUGACCUCAGGAGAUCUGCCCACCUCGGCCUCCCAAAGUGCUGGGAUUACAGGCGUGAGCCACGACACCCGGCCUAGGCUUCCUUCUUUAAAGACAAAUUUCCAGUGGGGCUCUGUAAGUAAUCCUCAUAUUUUCUCGUUGAGGAGUGUGGCCAGAGAAGGUGAGUCUUCUGCACGUAGCAGGGGGGAAAUGGUCAGGAGAUACUGUAAAAGCACUAAGAAAACCGGAAGGAAAAGGCCAGGCUCCAGGAGCACAGAGACUGGAUGGAUUCCUGCUUCCCUGUCACUCGGCUCUGUUCAGGCGGUGCAGUCACUUCCUUCACCUCAGUGUCCCUGUUUGUGCAAAUGAGGUGACUAUUGGUGCCGACCUACUUCCCAGGCAGUUUUGAAGAGAAGUGGCAAACGUUGAAGGGCGCACACUCUCCUUCCCCAAGCUCCCUCCCUCCCCACGUGUGCACCCAGAAGGAAAUAAAAGCCGUAAUUUGCACUGGCGAGUCGGCCCGCCUCGUCGAGGGUUCCGCUGAGCUGCUCACAAGGGCGUGCGGAGGCCCGCGGCCGGCCCUGGCCCCUGUGGUGGCAGCAGCUGGCUGGCUUCCCGGGCGGCUACCUCCAGCUGCAGCUGUCGGUGCUAUUUGCAGCUCUCCACAUCCUGAGAGCUGGACGCCGAGGACCGCUCCCUGGAGGGCGUGCGUAAAAUGCAGCAGCGGAGCGGUGAGGAGAUUACCGGAAAAACUGGGAGCGGAGUCAGGCUCGUUCUGGAGCAGGGAGAGGCUUGGGAAGUUGCGAAACGUUGACCUGCAGGGUCUUGAGGAACUGUCGGCCUGGGCUGUCCCCGUGGGUCAUUGAACAUUAAUCAGCCACCAGUCCUCGACCAAGCCAACCGAAAUAGAGUCAGCAGGCAGAAUGACGAAUACAGUUUGAAAGGGAACGAACUUACUCUUAUUCUCUCCUUGGAAAGGCCUUUCCAGACUCUCGAACUCACCCCUGUCACAUUACCCUGUUGUGUUAUCUUUGUGGGCCUGCGCAGCACCUGAAAUGAUCUGUCUUAGGGCCGAGUACAAUGCCCAGCUCAUUUGUAAAUGAGUGAAGGAGUCCCCUACUAGCAGGCUGCCUACUCAUCAAUCAAGUAGUUGUUGGGUUUCUCAUUUUUACCUUUGGAGAUGUUGUCUUCGACCUACGGGAAGGAAUUGGAUCUAUUUGAGGUUCUACUUUUGAGGUAUCUGAAGACCCACACAUGCCUGAGAGAAAUGUACAGAUGUUCAGCGCAGUACUGUUAAACAGCAAAAAAUAGGAAACAAUCUAAAUGUCCAUCAGUAAGGGAAUGAUGAAAAAUAUUAUGGAUCAUAUACAAGUGAGAUCGAAAAAAGAAAAAAUAUGUAUUAUGGAGCACCAUACUGUGGAAUGUCACGUACAUGACUGAAUUAUGUGACUAAAGAGAACAAUGAAUAUGAGUACAUAAUUUACAAGGAUCUCUCUAAUCCCUUUUCCACUUAUUUUUAAAAUGGUAUUUAGUAUAUCUGCAAAAUUAUUUAUUUCUAGUAGACAAGGCCUCACUAUGUUGCCCAGGCUAGUGUCAAACUCCUGGCCUCAAGUGAUCCUCCCACCUCGGCCUCCCAAAGUGCUGGGAUUAUAAGUGUGAGCCACUGUGCCUGGCUUUCCACUGACUUUCUAUUUCUGGAUUCCAGAGUCUGCAUACCCUUGCCCACCACUGCUCAUGCUCACUUACAGGUUUAGUCAUACUAUUGCAGAUUUUAUUCCUACUUCCUUCUUUUCAGUGGAUGCCCAAUAAAUUCAACUAUUUAAGCUAAGCACAGUGGUGUGUCCCUGUAAUCCCAGCUACUUGAGAAACUGAGGCGGGAGGAUUGUUUGAGCAGAUUUGGAGACCAACCUGGGCAACAUAGAGAUUCUAUGUAAUCUCUCAUGUCAAAAUAAGUAAAAAUUCCACUAAUUAGAAGGUCCAAACCAAUGCACAUGUCUAAAGUCAUCUAGCAUUUCUUCCUGGUAGAGAUUACCUUAGACUGAACCCCCCUGGAAGACGAGCAUUACAUAUUCUGGAGUGUGGCAUAUUAUGUUUGUGUCAUUCCAUGUUGUAUGGUUAUCUGUCAUGAUGUAUCGUGAAACAAGCAAUUCUAUAACAGAGCACUAUUUUGCCUCAUUACUCUGGGAGCAAUGUGGCAUAGACCCAUGGAAUUUCCCAAGUUGUGGCAAGUGUUAUUAGCACUGCCUUGGUAUUAAGAGGACAAGAAAAUGAACCACCAUCUUUUGCUGGAUAGACAAUCAAAUCACUUUCUGGCUUUUAUCUACUUUUAAAAUACAUUUCAAGGGUCAUUUGAAAAUGACACAAAGCACAAAUAUGAAAAGAAAUUCAAAUAUUAUCACACUCCCUAAUAAAACAGCCUAAUUACCAAAGGCUCACAUUUUAGCAAGUUAAUUCUAAGACUUAAGCUGUGUACGGUGUGUGCAAAUUUGCAGAUACCUUACCAUCACAUGCAAGUGUCUUACUGCUACUGAAAGCUAUCAGACCCUUUCAGGAGGCGUGUUGUACCAAGCAGACCUAAAUGUGAACUUUCAUCAAGGACCUUUUUAGGAGGCGUAUUGUACCAAGCAGACCUAAAUGUGAACUUUCAUCAAGGACUAUGUGAUGUCAAGCAAGGCAGUACCCAUGUAUUUCAUUCAAAAACCAGUUGUCUCUCCUGUGUUUUUUUUUUUUUUUUGAGAUGGAGUCUUGCUCUGUCACCCAGGCUGGAGUGCAGUGGCACAAUCUCGGCUCACUGCAACCUCCGCCUCCCGGGUUCACGCCAUUCUCCUGCCUCAGCCUCCUGAGUUACUGGGACUACAGGCGCCCAGCACCACGCUUGGCUAAUUUUUUGUAUUUUUAGUAGAGGCGGGGUUUCACCACGUUAGCCAGGAUGGUCUCAAUCUCCUGACCUCGUGAUCUGCCCGCCUUGGCCUCCCAAAGUGCUGGGAUUACAGGCGUGAGCCACUGCGCCCGGCCUCUCCUGUAGUUUUCAACAUAGUUAAAUCCUACAAUGUCUGAGCAAUGGUUACAAUUCCUUAGGUAGUAAGGGAAAUACCUGUUGAAUGGCAGUUUGUGUUACAUGGGCGCUUUUCUUAUCUUUAUCAUUUAAUCAUUACCCCUCGGGUACACAGGACACACAAAUUUCAUUUUUCAGAUUUCACUUUA